Long non-coding RNA from Raphanus sativus (radish), 795 nucleotides. RefSeq lists it as uncharacterized. The transcript is spliced from 2 exons. NCBI's taxonomy places the organism in Eukaryota, Viridiplantae, Streptophyta, Magnoliopsida, Brassicales, Brassicaceae. The record is from RefSeq and is a predicted model, not a curated record.
AAUAGGAAGGAUUGGCGAGGAUAGCUAAAACAGGUUGAUCUCCACCGUUCAUAUAUCUCAAUCUAAAGGAUAUAAUUAUUCCAUUUUUUAUCUCUUUCUUCUCCUUGCCUCUCUCUCACGACCUUUCCAAUUUUUUUUUCUUCUCCUCUCAGUUCCAAGCUUUUCUACUGAUUCAAAGUGUUAAGCAUAGAUCUCCUCUUGUCUCGAGACUCACUUUCCUUCUUUUGAUCUGGGGUUUUUUCGAUUAGGGUUCGAUCAGUCCUCACUAUCUUCUUCUGUUAUAUUGUUUCGAUUUGGUAGACUGUCUGUUUCUGUAUCAAUGGGUCUCGAUUAGGGUUUCAGAGAUUACCCACAGAACCCACAGCAGAUCCAACAUUCCAUUUAUCAAAGGAUUGGCCGUGGCUCUAAGUGACUCGGAAUCCCCAUAGAUCAGCGAAAAUGGCACUGCGAUAACUGCAGGUGGUGGUGUGACGACCGAGAGAGCAAGACGACAGAGGAGAUGGAGUUGGUAUAGAGGCGAGGUAAGAGAGACAGAUAAGAAGUUUCGAUGGUGGUGGAAGAGCACAGAUUGAUGGAGUUGGUUGACGGCGGCGAAGAGUGGUGUAGAGAUAGGGUUAAUUUUUUUUAAGGUUAAACCGGUUUAGUUUUUUAGAUUUCUAAACUAGGUUUACGUGUAAACCUUAGGUUAAUUAUGGUUUGGUUUAAUGUUUGUAAUUAGUUUUUUGUUUAAUGUGUUCUUUAAUUAUUUGUAUACUGAUUUUAAUCAAUAAAUAAAAUAAAAUUUUUAUUUACGAA